RNAcentral lists this ribosomal RNA (497 nucleotides) under uncultured bacterium. Its description in RNAcentral is "partial 16S ribosomal RNA". It matches the Rfam family "Bacterial small subunit ribosomal RNA", at positions 28 to 507 of the family's 1533-position model. The record is from RNAcentral.
GACGAACGCUGGCGGCGUGCCUAAUACAUGCAAGUUGAGCGCUUAAGGUUGGUACUUGUACCAACUGGAUGAGCAGCGAACGGGUGAGUAACGCGUGGGGAAUCUGCCUUUGAGCGGGGGACAACAUUUGGAAACGAAUGCUAAUACCGCAUAAAAACUUUAAACACAAGUUUUAAGUUUGAAAGAUGCAAUUGCAUCACUCAAAGAUGAUCCCGCGUUGUAUUAGCUAGUUGGUGAGGUAAAGGCUCACCAAGGCGAUGAUACAUAGCCGACCUGAGAGGGUGAUCGGCCACAUUGGGACUGAGACACGGCCCAAACUCCUACGGGAGGCAGCAGUAGGGGAUCUUCGGCAAUGGACGAAAGUCUGACCGAGCAACGCCGAGUGAGUGAAGAAGGUUUUCGGAUCGUAAAACUCUGUUGGUAGAGAAGAACGUUGGGGAGAGUGGAAAGCUCAUCAAGUGACGGUAACUACCCAGAAAGGGACGGCUAACUACGUG